This 503-nucleotide ribosomal RNA is filed under the name uncultured cyanobacterium. RNAcentral's name for it is "bacterial SSU rRNA". It matches the Rfam family "Bacterial small subunit ribosomal RNA", at positions 93 to 629 of the family's 1533-position model. The record is from RNAcentral. Lineage: Bacteria; Bacillati; Cyanobacteriota.
UAGUGGCGGACGGGUGAGUAACGCGUGAGAAUCUGCCUUCAGGAUGGGGACAACAGCGGGAAACUGCUGCUAAUACCCAAUGUGCCGCAAGGUGAAAGUAAUUCGCCUGAAGAGGAGCUCGCGUCUGAUUAGCUAGUUGGUAGAGUAAAAGCCUACCAAGGCAACGAUCAGUAGCUGGUCUGAGAGGAUGAGCAGCCACACUGGGACUGAGACACGGCCCAGACUCCUACGGGAGGCAGCAGUGGGGAAUUUUCCGCAAUGGGCGAAAGCCUGACGGAGCAAUACCGCGUGAGGGAGGAAGGUUCAAGUAAUUGUAAACCUCUUUUAUCAGGGAAGAAAAAAAUGACGGUACCUGAUGAAAAAGCAUCGGCUAACUCCGUGCCAGCAGCCGCGGUAAUACGGAGGAUGCAAGCGUUAUCCGGAAUUAUUGGGCGUAAAGCGUCCGCAGGUGGUAGUACAAGUCUGCUGUCAAAGACCAGAGCUUAACUCUGGGCAGGCGGUGG